GAGGAUGAUUUUUAAGAGAGUAUAAGUGCCACCAAAUGUAUGUAUGAAUAUUGCAUGAAUGCUUUUGAAUAGGAAUGUUUGGAUGAUUACCUUUGAAUCGAAGCUUCUUUUUUUUGUCGUGUUUCAGGUUGUAGCCCCUUGCGAAUGACGAUAAAGUGAAUGGCGGUAGAAUCGGUUGUACUUAGUUUAGCUCGUGCUUGUAACUUGUUGUAAUAAAUUUUGUUCUUUAUUUUGGUCUGGGACUUGGGGUGCAGGGAUUUUUCCGUUCAAGAAACCCUUUCCUCCAUUUCUCCACUUGCUCGUCCAUUUAAAUGAAGAAAAGGGGCUGCCACCUCCCCUCUACUCCAAUGAAACUUUACAACGUUUUUUUGAAAGAAAACAAGAGGUGGCAGCCUCUUAAUUAAUAACAGUAGCGGGGCCCAAAUUUGGCCCAAAAUAACGGGCCCGUAAUCUGGGCCGGGAUGCAAUCGGGCCCGAGAACAUUGACAUUUCGACGUAAAAAAGCAUUACGAAACUAAAAGUACGAAAGCCCGGACAAAUUUGGUUACUACAUUAGCAAUUAGCACAAUAGAUUGAUAUAUUAUGAUGAAAAAGGUGUGCGAUGAAAUAGAGAAUGCUAUGGAAGAAGGAGAGAACAUAGUGGAGCUUCGUUUGACUUAUGUACCAUUUGUAAUGUGGUUCGAUUCUUCAGUCUGUGGAAGAAUGUCUUAAAUCAAAAAAUUAUAUUAGUUUGGACUCAAUCGUAACUACUUGAAAUCUCUG
This 762-nucleotide long non-coding RNA is filed under the name Linum usitatissimum (flax). RNAcentral's name for it is "long non-coding RNA (LUSI_LNC002514)". Lineage: Eukaryota; Viridiplantae; Streptophyta; Magnoliopsida; Malpighiales; Linaceae. The record is from RNAcentral.